UGGGGAAUAUUGCACAAUGGGCGCAAGCCUGAUGCAGCCAUGCCGCGUGUGUGAAGAAGGCCUUCGGGUUGUAAAGCACUUUCAGCGAGGAGGAAGGGUAGUGUGUUAAUAGCACAUUGCAUUGACGUUACUCGCAGAAGAAGCACCGGCUAACUCCGUGCCAGCAGCCGCGGUAAUACGGAGGGUGCAAGCGUUAAUCGGAAUUACUGGGCGUAAAGCGCACGCAGGCGGUUUGUUAAGUAAGAUGUGAAAUCCCCGCGCUUAACGUGGGAACUGCAUUUGAAACUGGCAAGCUAGAGUCUUGUAGAGGGGGGUAGAAUUCCAGGUGUAGCGGUGAAAUGCGUAGAGAUCUGGAGGAAUACCGGUGGCGAAGGCGGCCCCCUGGACAAAGACUGACGCUCAGGUGCGAAAGCGUGGGGAGCAAACA
This 427-nucleotide ribosomal RNA is filed under the name uncultured bacterium. RNAcentral describes it as "partial 16S ribosomal RNA". It matches the Rfam family "Bacterial small subunit ribosomal RNA", at positions 355 to 774 of the family's 1533-position model. The record is from RNAcentral.